AAUAGUGUGGCAUAAUGGUUUGAGUGUUGGACUGUGACUCCAGAGAACAGGAUUCGAAUUCCUGCUGGGUGA
Molecule: non-coding RNA, 72 nt
Organism: Phrynosoma platyrhinos (Desert horned lizard)
Lineage: Eukaryota; Metazoa; Chordata; Lepidosauria; Squamata; Phrynosomatidae
Source: the annotation of a GenBank genome assembly